AAGAAAAACAAAGGGCCAAUUUCGGCCAAGCUUGGAGGAAACAAGAACCUUGGAAAAAUUUCUCAAAAAUUACUCUCUACUAAUUGGAAGGUCCCUAGCAAGGAGAAGAGGUCAUUGGAACAAGUAGAACAUUUAUUGUUGCAAGAUCAACAUUCUAGCCAAGUGGGAAAUUGAAGAAAAAGGAUUUUGGCGGAUUUGGAACGUGAAUUUGGAGUCGCAUAAGAAGCAGAAAAGGUACACCAGCUGAGCCACAGUUAUCAUAGAAGAUGUUCCAGCGGAGUUGGCGGGCUCCACUUGUUCUGGAGUGCUGCCGAGUCAGAGUAUAUGAGCUAUGGUGUUUGUUCAAUGUUAGAGACUUUGCAGACAGAGUCAUGAGUAUAGAGUGUCAGCUUGGUAGACGGCUUCAACCGUCACAAUGUUAUUACGUUUCAUGUCGCGGGUCCCAUAUGAUCAUAGACAUUACUUAUGAAAAAAAAUA
Molecule: long non-coding RNA, 478 nt
Organism: Lycium barbarum (goji berry)
Lineage: Eukaryota; Viridiplantae; Streptophyta; Magnoliopsida; Solanales; Solanaceae
Exons: 3
Source: RefSeq, a predicted model, not a curated record